Molecule: transfer RNA, 56 nt
Filed under: Aneura pinguis
Lineage: Eukaryota; Viridiplantae; Streptophyta; Jungermanniopsida; Metzgeriales; Aneuraceae
Description: partial tRNA-His
Source: RNAcentral
GGCGCACCCGGCCAAGCGAUUAAAGGCUUUGGAUUGCGAAUAUCCCCGCGGGGUCU